CACGUAGGGGGCGAGCGUUGUCCGGAUUUAUUGGGCGUAAAGAGCUCGUAGGCGGUUUCGUAAGUCGGAUGUGAAAACUCCAGGCUCAACUUGGAGACGCCAUUCGAUACUGCGAUGACUUGAGUCCGGUAGGGGAGUGUGGAAUUCCUGGUGUAGCGGUGAAAUGCGCAGAUAUCAGGAGGAACACCUGAGGUGAAGACGGGUUGCUGGGCCAACACUGACGCUGAGGCGCGAAAGCCAGGGGAGCAAACGGG
RNAcentral lists this ribosomal RNA (254 nucleotides) under uncultured bacterium. RNAcentral describes it as "partial 16S ribosomal RNA". It matches the Rfam family "Bacterial small subunit ribosomal RNA", at positions 524 to 776 of the family's 1533-position model. The record is from RNAcentral.